RNAcentral lists this ribosomal RNA (296 nucleotides) under Cloridopsis scorpio. RNAcentral describes it as "partial large subunit ribosomal RNA". It matches the Rfam family "Eukaryotic large subunit ribosomal RNA", at positions 77 to 349 of the family's 3401-position model. The record is from RNAcentral. Lineage: Eukaryota; Metazoa; Arthropoda; Malacostraca; Stomatopoda; Squillidae. RNAcentral also lists the same sequence under 2 other names.
CCCCCAGUAAGGGCGACUGAACGGGGAGGAGCCCAGCGCGGAACCUCGCGCGCCUCACCGGCUGCGUCUGAGGAAUGUCGCGUUCCGGAGGGGCCUUCUCCGACCACACCGACCCCCCCCAAGUCCGCUUGAACGCGGCCACUGCCCAUGGAGGGUGCGAGGCCCGUACGGGGAUUAGGAGUCGGGCGGUCGGACGGCCCCGUCCGUAGAGUCGGGUUGCCUACUAACGCAGCCCAAAGCAGGUGGUAAACUCCAUCUAAGGCUAAAUAUGACCACGAGACCGAUAGCGAACAAGU